This 31-nucleotide non-coding RNA is filed under the name Mus musculus (house mouse). Lineage: Eukaryota; Metazoa; Chordata; Mammalia; Rodentia; Muridae. The record is from RNAcentral.
UCCUGGAGACUCCCCACAUUCUGGAAUGAUG